GACAGAGGGUGCAAGCGUUGUUCGGAAUUAUUGGGCGUAAAGGGCGCGUAGGCGGUCUAGUAAGUUUAUCGUUAAAUCUCAGAGCUCAACUCUGUUCAUGCGAUAAAUACUGUUAGGCUUGAAUAUGGGAGAGGCAGAUGGAAUUCCUAGUGUAGAGGUAAAAUUCGUAGAUAUUAGGAGGAACACCAAAGGCGAAGGCAGUCUGCUGGAACAUUUAUUGACGCUGAGGCGCGAAAGCGUGGGGAUCAAACAGG
This 254-nucleotide ribosomal RNA is filed under the name uncultured bacterium. Its description in RNAcentral is "partial 16S ribosomal RNA". It matches the Rfam family "Bacterial small subunit ribosomal RNA", at positions 524 to 776 of the family's 1533-position model. The record is from RNAcentral.